GGUCUCUUGGUGUAGUGGUAGCAUGUCAGCUUCAUUGUAUCAUGAAGGUUUCGGCGGCGGUUCGAUUCCGUCAGGGAUCA
This is a transfer RNA of 80 nucleotides. It matches the Rfam family "tRNA". From Rfam's summary of the family: Transfer RNA (tRNA) molecules are approximately 80 nucleotides in length. Their secondary structure includes four short double-helical elements and three loops (D, anti-codon, and T loops). The record is from Rfam.